Molecule: long non-coding RNA, 309 nt
Organism: Pelmatolapia mariae (spotted tilapia)
Lineage: Eukaryota; Metazoa; Chordata; Actinopteri; Cichliformes; Cichlidae
Exons: 4
Source: RefSeq, a predicted model, not a curated record
UGGACUUGCAAACUUUGCGCUCUUUGGGAUUUCAAGACAGAGCUUAUUGUUCUCUGAACUUCCUUGUUUGCUGAACGGCAGGUUGAAGCAGAAUUUGCCCGUCUUACAUCUGUUGACCUGAAAGGGUUCCUUUUUGCUGUGCUUGACCAUUAUGGAGAGGUUCGUGGAGCUGUACAAAAUCAAGAGCGGCAUAGAAAGGCUAACUAGGCUCAUAAGAUGCUUCGGAGAUGAUAGCCCUACACAAAGGAAGAGGACAGAGGACCUCAUUUUCUAAAGGAAGAUCCCUCACACACUUUCAAGACUGUGAAG